GGUCAAGUUACUAAGAGUGUAUGGGGGAUGUCUUGGUGUCGAGAGGCGAUGAAGGACGUGGUAGGCUGCGAUAAGCCCGGGGCA
This 84-nucleotide ribosomal RNA is filed under the name Phycisphaerae bacterium. Its description in RNAcentral is "partial 23S ribosomal RNA". It matches the Rfam family "Bacterial large subunit ribosomal RNA", at positions 1 to 84 of the family's 2925-position model. Lineage: Bacteria; Pseudomonadati; Planctomycetota; Phycisphaerae. The record is from RNAcentral.